RNAcentral lists this ribosomal RNA (2036 nucleotides) under Bordetella bronchiseptica 00-P-2796. RNAcentral describes it as "bacterial LSU rRNA". It matches the Rfam family "Bacterial large subunit ribosomal RNA", at positions 892 to 2925 of the family's 2925-position model. The record is from RNAcentral. Lineage: Bacteria; Pseudomonadati; Pseudomonadota; Betaproteobacteria; Burkholderiales; Alcaligenaceae.
ACUGCAGGGGGUAGAGCACUGUUAUGGCUAGGGGGUCAUGGCGACUUACCAAACCAUGGCAAACUCCGAAUACCUGCAAGUACAGCUUGGGAGACAGAGCACCGGGUGCUAACGUCCGGACUCAAGAGGGAAACAACCCAGACCGCCAGCUAAGGUCCCGAAUUAUCGCUAAGUGGGAAACGAAGUGGGAAGGCAUAGACAGUCAGGAGGUUGGCUUAGAAGCAGCCACCCUUUAAAGAAAGCGUAAUAGCUCACUGAUCGAGUCGUCCUGCGCGGAAGAUGUAACGGGGCUAAGCGAUAAACCGAAGCUGCGGGUGUGCACUUUUAGUGCACGCGGUAGGAGAGCGUUCUGUAAGCCUGCGAAGGUGGCUUGUAAAGGCUGCUGGAGGUAUCAGAAGUGCGAAUGCUGACAUGAGUAGCGAUAAAGGGGGUGAAAAGCCCCCUCGCCGUAAGUCCAAGGUUUCCUGCGCAACGUUCAUCGGCGCAGGGUGAGUCGGCCCCUAAGGCGAGGCAGAGAUGCGUAGCUGAUGGGAAGCUGGUUAAUAUUCCAGCACCGUCGUACAGUGCGAUGGGGGGACGGAUCGCGGAAGGUCAUCAGGGUGUUGGACGUCCCUGUUGCUGCAUUGAAGAUGGCGCUUAGGCAAAUCCGGGCGCGAGAAUCAAGGGUGUGGCACGAGCGAGCAAGUCUCGCGAAGUGAUUGGAAGUGGUUCCAAGAAAAGCCUCUAAGCUUCAGCUGUACGAGACCGUACCGCAAACCGACACAGGUGGACGGGAUGAAUAUUCCAAGGCGCUUGAGAGAACUCAGGAGAAGGAACUCGGCAAAUUGAUACCGUAACUUCGGGAGAAGGUAUACCCUGGUAGUGUGAAGCGCCUGCGCGCUGAGCAUGAAGGGGUCGCAGAGAAUCGGUGGCUGCGACUGUUUAUUAAAAACACAGCACUCUGCAAAGACGAAAGUCGACGUAUAGGGUGUGACGCCUGCCCGGUGCCGGAAGGUUAAGUGAUGGGGUGCAAGCUCUUGAUCGAAGCCCCGGUAAACGGCGGCCGUAACUAUAACGGUCCUAAGGUAGCGAAAUUCCUUGUCGGGUAAGUUCCGACCUGCACGAAUGGCGUAACGAUGGCCACACUGUCUCCUCCUGAGACUCAGCGAAGUUGAAGUGUUUGUGAUGAUGCAAUCUACCCGCGGCUAGACGGAAAGACCCCAUGAACCUUUACUGUAGCUUUGCAUUGGACUGUGAACCGGCCUGUGUAGGAUAGGUGGGAGGCGCAGAACUCGAGUCGCCAGAUUCGAGGGAGCCAUCCUUGAAAUACCACCCUGGUUUGUUUGCGGUUCUAACCUUGGUCCGUUAUCCGGAUCGGGGACAGUGCAUGGUAGGCAGUUUGACUGGGGCGGUCUCCUCCCAAAGCGUAACGGAGGAGUUCGAAGGUACGCUAGGUACGGUCGGAAAUCGUGCUGAUAGUGCAAUGGCAUAAGCGUGCUUGACUGUGAGACUGACAAGUCGAACAGGUGCGAAAGCAGGACAUAGUGAUCCGGUGGUUCUGAAUGGAAGGGCCAUCGCUCAACGGAUAAAAGGUACUCUGGGGAUAACAGGCUGAUACCGCCCAAGAGUUCAUAUCGACGGCGGUGUUUGGCACCUCGAUGUCGGCUCAUCUCAUCCUGGGGCUGUAGCCGGUCCCAAGGGUAUGGCUGUUCGCCAUUUAAAGAGGUACGUGAGCUGGGUUUAAAACGUCGUGAGACAGUUUGGUCCCUAUCUGCCGUGGGCGUUGGAUACUUGACGGAGCCUGCUCCUAGUACGAGAGGACCGGAGUGGACGUACCUCUGGUGUACCGGUUGUCAUGCCAAUGGCAUUGCCGGGUAGCUAAGUACGGAAGAGAUAACCGCUGAAGGCAUCUAAGCGGGAAACUCGUCUGAAGAUUAGGUAUCCCGGGGACUAGAUCCCCCUGAAGGGUCGUUCGAGACCAGGACGUUGAUAGGUCGGGUGUGGAAGCGCAGUAAUGCGUUAAGCUAACCGAUACUAAUUGCCCGUGAGGCUUGAUC